Non-coding RNA from Pelodiscus sinensis (Chinese soft-shelled turtle), 270 nucleotides. The record is from RefSeq and is a predicted model, not a curated record. NCBI's taxonomy places the organism in Eukaryota, Metazoa, Chordata, Testudines, Trionychidae.
GCUUUCGCUCGCGUGCGUGGCAAGGAAAAAGGUGGUUCCCAGGAGAAUACUCAUGGAAGGGGACGUAUUUGCCAACAAGCAAAAUGGUGCUAAUCGGCAUGCAAAGAGCAAAUGGAGAGACAGCAUCACAAUGAAGGACAGAAGAAGGAUGAACCAGGGGCUGCAAACCGACUUUCUGUUAUGUGGACUAGAUUUUGACCUGCUGAUGUGAGGUGUUGGCCCUCCCAUGCCCAAGCCUAUAAGUCAUCUACUCUCCUUCCUCCAGCGCCG